Molecule: long non-coding RNA, 201 nt
Filed under: Musa acuminata (dwarf banana)
Lineage: Eukaryota; Viridiplantae; Streptophyta; Magnoliopsida; Zingiberales; Musaceae
Description: long non-coding RNA (MACU_LNC002738)
Source: RNAcentral
CAGUUGAAUAUUAUAGCAUGUAUCUCAAUUAUACCUCAGGAAGCUGCUUGGAAGUUGCGAGAUCGACUUUAGUGCUAAUAUGAAAGGCUACUUAAGAAAUUCAUUAGUGCUAUUAGACUUUAGUGCUAAUCUGAAUCAAGAGAAAUUCAUCCUUCAAAUUAUAUCUAAUUAAGAAGUGCUUCUUCUUAUCUUUCGGCUACG